This 490-nucleotide ribosomal RNA is filed under the name uncultured bacterium. RNAcentral's name for it is "partial 16S ribosomal RNA". It matches the Rfam family "Bacterial small subunit ribosomal RNA", at positions 30 to 507 of the family's 1533-position model. The record is from RNAcentral.
AUUGAACGCUGGCGGCAUGCCUUACACAUGCAAGUCGAACGGCAGCAUGAUCUAGCUUGCUAGAUUGAUGGCGCGUGGCGAACGGGUGAGUAAUACAUCGGAACGUGCCCUGUAGUGGGGGAUAACUAGUCGAAAGAUUAGCUAAUACCGCAUACGACCUGAGGGUGAAAGUGGGGGACCGCAAGGCCUCAUGCUAUAGGAGCGGCCGAUGUCUGAUUAGCUAGUUGGUGAGGUAAAGGCUCACCAAGGCGACGAUCAGUAGCUGAUCUGAGAGGACGAUCAGCCACACUGGGACUGAGACACGGCCCAGACUCCUACGGGAGGCAGCAGUGGGGAAUUUUGGACAAUGGGCGAAAGCCUGAUCCAGCAAUGCCGCGUGUGUGAAGAAGGCCUUCGGGUUGUAAAGCACUUUUGUCCGGAAAGAAAUGGCUCUGGUUAAUACCUGGGGUCGAUGACGGUACCGGAAGAAUAAGGACCGGCUAACUACGUG